UACGUAGGGGGCAAGCGUUGUCCGGAAUCAUUGGGCGUAAAGAGCGUGUAGGCGGCCCGAUAAGUCCGCUGUGAAAGUCCAGGGCUCAACCCUGGAAAGCCGGUGGAUACUGUCGGGCUAGAGUCCGGAAGAGGCGAGUGGAAUUCCUGGUGUAGCGGUGAAAUGCGCAGAUAUCAGGAGGAACACCGAUAGCGAAGGCAGCUCGCUGGGACGGAACUGACGCUGAGACGCGAAAGCGUGGGGAGCAAACAGG
This 253-nucleotide ribosomal RNA is filed under the name uncultured bacterium. RNAcentral's name for it is "partial 16S ribosomal RNA". It matches the Rfam family "Bacterial small subunit ribosomal RNA", at positions 524 to 776 of the family's 1533-position model. The record is from RNAcentral.